UACGUAGGGUGCAAGCGUUGUCCGGAAUUAUUGGGCGUAAAGAGCUCGUAGGCGGUUUGUCGCGUCUGCUGUGAAAAUCCAGGGCUUAACCCUGGACCUGCAGUGGGUACGGGCAGACUAGAGUGCGGUAGGGGAGAUCGGAAUUCCUGGUGUAGCGGUGAAAUGCGCAGAUAUCAGGAGGAACACCGGUGGCGAAGGCGGAUCUCUGGGCCGUCACUGACACUCAGAGACGAAAGCUAGGGGAGCGAAUGGG
This 253-nucleotide ribosomal RNA is filed under the name uncultured bacterium. RNAcentral describes it as "partial 16S ribosomal RNA". It matches the Rfam family "Bacterial small subunit ribosomal RNA", at positions 524 to 776 of the family's 1533-position model. The record is from RNAcentral.